AGAGUUUGAUCCUGGCUCAGAUUGAACGCUGGCGGCAGGCCUAACACAUGCAAGUCGAGCGGUUGACGGGAGCUUGCUCCCUGAUUCAGCGGCGGACGGGUGAGUAAUGCCUAGGAAUCUGCCUAUUAGUGGGGGACAACGUUUCGAAAGGAACGCUAAUACCGCAUACGUCCUACGGGAGAAAGCAGGGGACCUUCGGGCCUUGCGCUAAUAGAUGAGCCUAGGUCGGAUUAGCUAGUUGGUGAGGUAAUGGCUCACCAAGGCGACGAUCCGUAACUGGUCUGAGAGGAUGAUCAGUCACACUGGAACUGAGACACGGUCCAGACUCCUACGGGAGGCAGCAGUGGGGAAUAUUGGACAAUGGGCGAAAGCCUGAUCCAGCCAUGCCGCGUGUGUGAAGAAGGUCUUCGGAUUGUAAAGCACUUUAAGUUGGGAGGAAGGGUUGUAGAUUAAUACUCUGCAAUUU
RNAcentral lists this ribosomal RNA (466 nucleotides) under Pseudomonas fulva. RNAcentral's name for it is "bacterial SSU rRNA". It matches the Rfam family "Bacterial small subunit ribosomal RNA", at positions 8 to 470 of the family's 1533-position model. Lineage: Bacteria; Pseudomonadati; Pseudomonadota; Gammaproteobacteria; Pseudomonadales; Pseudomonadaceae. The record is from RNAcentral.